RNAcentral lists this ribosomal RNA (112 nucleotides) under uncultured eukaryote. RNAcentral's name for it is "partial small subunit ribosomal RNA". It matches the Rfam family "Eukaryotic small subunit ribosomal RNA", at positions 1676 to 1785 of the family's 1831-position model. The record is from RNAcentral.
UCGCACCUACCGAUUGGAUGGUCCGGUGAGAAUUUCGGAUUGAAUUAUUUAUACUUUAAUUAGUAUUUAUAGUAUGAGAAGUUAUUCAAACCUUACCAUCUAGAGGAAGGUG